Arachis ipaensis is the source of this 385-nucleotide non-coding RNA. The record is from RefSeq and is a predicted model, not a curated record. NCBI's taxonomy places the organism in Eukaryota, Viridiplantae, Streptophyta, Magnoliopsida, Fabales, Fabaceae.
GUAUUAAGUUGAGCUAAAUUCAAUUAGAAACGUGUAUACAUGAUAAAUUUAAUUGAGCAUAGUAUUAAAGCAUAAAUGUGAAUCCUAUUAUAUACAAAACAAGUAUAUCCAACGACCCCCUAAAAAGAGCUGGUAACUCUAACUAAGUUUUCAAUUUCAAUUCUAUCAUCAAUUCGUCGGUAUUGCAUAUUGCGUAAGGACUUGAUUGAGUCUGAGUUGGCUUUACCACUAUAUUUCUCUGAACUCUUUGUAAGAUUCUUAAGAAAUGUAUUUGAAGGUGAUGUAAGCAUUUGGAUGACCAAUUGCUUCUUUAGAUUAAUGCACUCAAACUGUAAUAACAAUGUUAACAAAGAUUAUAAAUUAUAAAAAGACAAAAAUAUCAAAA